This 253-nucleotide ribosomal RNA is filed under the name uncultured bacterium. Its description in RNAcentral is "partial 16S ribosomal RNA". It matches the Rfam family "Bacterial small subunit ribosomal RNA", at positions 524 to 776 of the family's 1533-position model. The record is from RNAcentral.
UACGUAGGAGGCGAGCGUUGUCCGGAAUUGCUGGGUGUAAAGCGCGCGUAGGUGGGAGGCCAAGUCUGUGGUGAAAUCGCCCGGCUCAACUGGGCGGGGUCCAUGGAAACUGGUCACCUGGAGGACGGUAGAGGCGAGUGGAAUUCCCGGUGUAGUGGUGAAAUGCGUAGAGAUGUGGAGGAACACCAGUGGCGAAGGCGGCUUUUUGGUCUGUAACUGACGCUGAGGCGCGAAAGCGUGGGGAGCAAACAGG